This 443-nucleotide ribosomal RNA is filed under the name uncultured bacterium. RNAcentral describes it as "partial 16S ribosomal RNA". It matches the Rfam family "Bacterial small subunit ribosomal RNA", at positions 338 to 795 of the family's 1533-position model. The record is from RNAcentral.
CCUACGGGCGGCAGCAGUGGGGAAUAUUGGACAAUGGGGGGAACCCUGAUCCAGCGACGCCGCGUGAGUGAAGAAGUAUUUCGGUAUGUAAAGCUCUAUCAGCAGGGAAGAAAGAAAUGACGGUACCUGACUAAGAAGCCCAGGCUAACUACGUGCCAGCAGCCGCGGUAAUACGUAGGGGGCAAGCGUUAUCCGGAUUUACUGGGUGUAAAGGGAGCGUAGACGGUUACGCAAGUCUGGAGUGAAAGGCGGGGGCCCAAACCCUGGACUGCUUUGGAAACUGUAUAACUUGAGUGCAGGAGAGGUAAGUGGAAUUCCUGGUGUAGCGGUGAAAUGCGUAGAGAUUAGGAGGAACACCAGUGGCGAAGGCGGCUUACUGGACUGUAACUGACGUUGAGGCUCGAAAGCGUGGGGAGCAAACAGGAUUAGAUACCCCAGUAGUC